RNAcentral lists this ribosomal RNA (250 nucleotides) under uncultured bacterium. RNAcentral describes it as "partial 16S ribosomal RNA". It matches the Rfam family "Bacterial small subunit ribosomal RNA", at positions 524 to 773 of the family's 1533-position model. The record is from RNAcentral.
UACGUAGGGUGCGAGCGUUAAUCGGAAUUACUGGGCGUAAAGUGUGCGCAGGCGGCCGCGCAAGUCGAGUGUGAAAGCCCCGGGCUUAACUUGGGAAUUGCGCUCGAAACUACGUGGCUGGAGUGUGGCAGAGGAAGGUGGAAUUCCACGUGUAGCGGUGAAAUGCGUAGAGAUGUGGAGGAACACCAAUGGCGAAGGCAGCCUUCUGGGCCAACACUGACGCUCAUGCACGAAAGCGUGGGGAGCAAAC